Molecule: long non-coding RNA, 1062 nt
Filed under: Homo sapiens (human)
Lineage: Eukaryota; Metazoa; Chordata; Mammalia; Primates; Hominidae
Description: PREDICTED lncRNA (TCONS_00094667)
Source: RNAcentral
GAGAAUUGGGGUGGGGCGCGCCAAGAGGAGCAAGCAUUAUAGAACGUGGGGAGCAUGAGAAAUACACGGAGGUGGAAACGCCGGAGUGGCUGGCGGGUAAAGGCAGCGGGCGCAGAUGAAGCGGGCUGGGCGUCCCACGCGCAGAACCGUCCCGGACAGAAGCCGCAGGGCUGCGCUGGCUGGAAAAAGGAACGCGAGUACAGCGCGCGUGGCGCGGGGUCUGCUCCAGGACGGAAUCUUUUGGGUGGCCCGCAUGAGGGGUUUGCAGGACCCCGGGCCUUUGGGAAGUUAUCUGCUAAACUCCAGUAGACCCUGAGGAGCAGCGGCUCAUGAAUCUUCUUAAACUUCUGUCAUCAGCGGCUGGGCCAGCUGAAGGUGACCAUGGCACACGAGGGAGAGAGAAGCCCGCGAGAGGCGGAGAAAUGUGGGGUCGUCCAGGAGGGUCGACAAGGCAAAGAACCUGAAGACGACCCAAAAGGAGUUGAACUUCCUCUCUUUUUAGAAGAAUGGAUUUCUCGGAGUCUGAAAAAUUUAUGGUUCUUCUCUGGAAGAAUUUUAUUUUAAAGAGGCGGCGAUGUAUUGCUUUAGUUGUGGAAAUGGUCCUCACAUUUCUGUUUAGUGCUGCGCUUUUGGCAACACGCUCUGUUAUUACUAUAAAUAAGAACGGACCUUUCGAUUUUGCUGCUCAGCCUGUCGAUGAAGUGCCUUUCUACAUCACAGCUUCCUUAAUUUCUCCUUCUCCUUUGGAAUUGGCUUACGUGCCUUCCAGAAGUACUGUGGUUCAGGGUAUUAUUGAAAGAGUGAAAAUGGAUUUAAACCCUCAAAUGAAAGGAGUACCAGCUCAUGAUAGGAGUCAGUAAUUGGAUGCUCUGGGCAGCCUAUUUCUUCACGUUCCUCUCUUUGUAUUUUAUUAUCAUCAUUUUUAUGUGCAUAAUUUUCUUUGUCAAGGAACCUGCACCAGUCAUCCAAAGCAGUGACCCAACGCUUAUCUUUAUCUUUUUGCUGUUUUAUGCCAUCGCCACAAUAUGCUUCAGCUUUAUGGUUAGCACUUUCUUCAGUAGA